RNAcentral lists this ribosomal RNA (912 nucleotides) under uncultured archaeon. Its description in RNAcentral is "bacterial SSU rRNA". It matches the Rfam family "Archaeal small subunit ribosomal RNA", at positions 4 to 922 of the family's 1478-position model. The record is from RNAcentral.
CUGGUUGAUCCUGCCGGCGGCCACCGCUAUUGGAAUUCGAUUAAGACAUGCGAGUCGAGAGUCGUAAGGACUCGGCGAACCGCUCAGUAACACGCGGAUAACAUGCCCUUGGGUGGAGGAUAAGCUCGGGAAACUGAGGAUAAUACUCCAUAGAUCUACUAUGCUGGAAUGCUUGUAGGUCCAAAACUCCGGUGCCCAAGGAUUGGUCUGCGGCGUAUCAGGUAGUAGUGGGUGUAACGGACCCACUAGCCAAUGACGCGUAAGGGCCUUGAAAGRGGGAGCCCUGAGAUGGACUCUGAGACAUGAGUCCAGGCCCUACGGGGCGCAGCAGUCGCGAAAACUUCACAAUGGGGGAAACCCCGAUGAGGGAAUUCCAAGUGUUAGCACAUUGUGUUAACUGUUCCCCUGUCUAAAAAACAGGARAAGUAAGGGCCGGGUAAGACGGGUGCCAGCCGCCGCGGUAAUACCCGCGGCCCGAGUGGUGGUCGAUAUUAUUGAGCCWAAAACGUUCGUAGCCGGUCUUGUAAAUCCUUGGGUAAAUCGGCCAGCUUAACUGUCCGAAGUCCGGGGAGACUGCAAGACUUGGGAUCGGGAGAGGUCAGAGGUACUUCUGGGGUAGGGGUAAAAUCCUGUAAUCCUAGAAGGACCACCGGUGGCGAAGGCGUCUGACUAGAACGAAUUCGACGGUGAGGAACGAAGCCCUGGGGCGCAAACGGGAUUAGAUACCCCGGUAGUCCAGGGUGUAAACGCUGCGGGCUUGGUGUUGGGGGUCCUUAGUGGGCGCCCAGUGCCGGAGAGAAGUUGUUAAGCCUGCUGCUUGGGGAGUAUGUCCGCAAGGAUGAAACUUAAAGGAAUUGGCGGGGGAGCACCGCAACGGGAGGAGCGUGCGGUUCAAUUGGAUUCAACGCCGGG